AUUGAACGCUGGCGGCAUGCUUUACACAUGCGAGUCGAACGGUAACAGGCCUUCGGGUGCUGACGAGUGGCGAACGGGUGAGUAAUGCAUCGGAACGUGCCCAGAGGUGGGGGAUAACGCAGCGAAAGCUGUGCUAAUACCGCAUGUGAUCUGAGGAUGAAAGCGGGGGACCAGGCAGCAAUGUUUGGCCUCGCGCCUUUGGAGCGGCCGAUGUCAGAUUAGGUAGUUGGUGGGGUAAAGGCCUACCAAGCCGACGAUCUGUAGCUGGUCUGAGAGGACGACCAGCCACACUGGGACUGAGACACGGCCCAGACUCCUACGGGAGGCAGCAGUGGGGAAUUUUGGACAAUGGGCGCAAGCCUGAUCCAGCAAUGCCGCGUGCGGGAAGAAGGCCUUCGGGUUGUAAACCGCUUUUGUACGGAACGAAAAGGCUCUGGCUAAUACCUGGGGCUGAUGACGGUACCGUAAGAAUAAGCACCGGCUAACUACGU
This 491-nucleotide ribosomal RNA is filed under the name uncultured bacterium. RNAcentral describes it as "partial 16S ribosomal RNA". It matches the Rfam family "Bacterial small subunit ribosomal RNA", at positions 30 to 506 of the family's 1533-position model. The record is from RNAcentral.